AACGCACAUUGCGCCCGCCAGUAUUCUGGCGGGCAUGCCUGUUAGAGCGUCAUUUGUACCCUCAAGCUUUGCUUGGUGUUGGGCGUCUUGUCUCCAGUUCGCUGGAGACUCGCCUUAAAGUAAUUGGCAGCCGGCCUACUGGUUUCGGAGCGCAGCACAAGUCGCGCUCUCUUCCAGCCAAGGUCAGCAUCCACAAAGCCUUUUUUCAACUUUUGACCUCGGAUCAGGUAGGGAUACCCGCUGAACUUAA
This 250-nucleotide unclassified non-coding RNA is filed under the name uncultured Pleosporaceae. Its description in RNAcentral is "sequence contains ITS2". The stretch from base 1 to 52 matches the Rfam family "5.8S ribosomal RNA", at positions 103 to 154 of the family's 154-position model. The record is from RNAcentral. Lineage: Eukaryota; Fungi; Ascomycota; Dothideomycetes; Pleosporales; Pleosporaceae.